RNAcentral lists this signal recognition particle RNA (99 nucleotides) under Nitrospiraceae bacterium. Its description in RNAcentral is "signal recognition particle sRNA small type". It matches the Rfam family "Bacterial small signal recognition particle RNA". Rfam says of the family: The signal recognition particle (SRP) is a universally conserved ribonucleoprotein involved in the co-translational targeting of proteins to membranes. Archaeal SRP consists of a 7S RNA and homologues of the eukaryotic SRP19 and SRP54 proteins. Lineage: Bacteria; Pseudomonadati; Nitrospirota; Nitrospiria; Nitrospirales; Nitrospiraceae. The record is from RNAcentral.
GCCCGGGUCCUGCGCAACCACGACCCCGUGAAUCCCGUCAGGUCCGGAAGGAAGCAGCGGUAAACGGGUGCCGGGUGUGCCGCAGGGAAACNNUGGUCU